Molecule: ribosomal RNA, 400 nt
Filed under: uncultured bacterium
Lineage: Bacteria
Description: bacterial SSU rRNA
Rfam family: Bacterial small subunit ribosomal RNA
Source: RNAcentral
UGGGGAAUUUUGGACAAUGGGCGAAAGCCUGAUCCAGCGACGCCGCGUGAAUGAUGAAGGCCUUCGGGUUGUAAAGUUCUUUUGGCAGGGAAGAUAGUGACGGUACCUGCAGAAUAAGCCCCGGCAAACUCUGUGCCAGCAGCCGCGGUAAGACAGAGGGGGCUAGCGUUGUUCGGAAUCACUGGGCGUAAAGGGCGCGUAGGCGGCCAUGUAAGUGAGAGGUGAAAGCCUGGAGCUCAACUCCAGAAUUGCCUUUCAUACUGCUUGGCUAGAGUCUGUGAGAGGGUAGUGGAAUUCCUAGUGUAGCGGUGAAAUGCGUAGAUAUUAGGAGGAACACCAAUGGCGAAGGCAGCUACCUGGCACAGUACUAACGCUGAGGCGCGAAAGCGUGGGGAUCAAA